AAAAAAAAAAAAAAAAAAAAAAAUGGAAAGGAGGAUCCUUUGGACAAUAGCGUUACGUGUCACAUUCCUUCCUUCCGGGCAGAGUUUUGCAUUUCACAGUCUAGUUUGCAUCCCCUUCACAGAUACUUUCAGAGCUUUUAAAGUAAAUUACUUGAAUUAAAUUGAUUUGCAGGAACUUUCCCAGAUCCAAUCACCUUUCCUCCUGGAUCCCCCACGGAAUUCCCAGUUCCCAGACCGCUGAGCUGCAGGCAACUCCCUAGCAGAAUCCAGUCCAACCCGCUGGCAAAAAUAGUUUUGAGAUUAGCCGCUUUCGUCUUGGUAAGAGGAAAACAUUUUCCUUUCCAACACAAGGGGCCCCCACAACGCUAAGCUUUUACCUUAAAACUGCACAGGCUCCGCCCCCGGCCCGCCCCGGGCACCGCCCCCGGCACCGCCCCGGGCUAACUGGCUCUUCUCUGCGCGCAUGCGCAGUUUCCUGCAGUCCCGGAAGCAGGUCGCGGUGUGGGCAGGUGACGCCGACGAGCGUCAAUGUACCUCUGUGUAGCUUAGACCUUCGAUUCGCCGUCCCCGUUUCCACACCUCGGUGCCCGGGUGUCUCUGCUGACCUUAAAGUCCCCACACCUCCACCCCAGUAUAUCUUGAGCUCUGUUCUCUGAAUGUGGAGUGACCCUCAGCUUACCCCUUGGAGUUCUGGUAUCCGUCCACACCCACUGCCCUUCCUCAUCAUCUCAUCUCAUGGCUUUAACCCCGCCUGCAGGGCUCCAUGUUCCCUGUAGACCUUUCCCCUGAACACUGGAAUCCUGGGUCCAGUUGCCCCCUCGACUCUCCUCUGGGAGUCCAGCAGGCAUCUCCACUUUCAUGUGUUCAGAAGUGACUGAGCUUCCCAGACACAUUCCCCCUGCAAUCCUGCACAUCUCAGAUGAGGGCGACUCUGGAUUUCAGGUGACUUAGCUGAACAUGUCAACAUGUAUUAAAAUUAGUAAAUAAU
Cebus imitator (Panamanian white-faced capuchin) is the source of this 988-nucleotide long non-coding RNA. RefSeq lists it as uncharacterized. The transcript is spliced from 2 exons. The record is from RefSeq and is a predicted model, not a curated record. Lineage: Eukaryota; Metazoa; Chordata; Mammalia; Primates; Cebidae.